RNAcentral lists this ribosomal RNA (111 nucleotides) under Bacteroides fragilis. Lineage: Bacteria; Pseudomonadati; Bacteroidota; Bacteroidia; Bacteroidales; Bacteroidaceae. The record is from RNAcentral.
UCAGGUGACUAUAGCAUCAGGGUUCCACCUCUUCCCAUUCCGAACAGAGAAGUUAAGCCUGAUCACGCCGAUGGUACUGCGUAAAAGUGGGAGAGUAGGUAGUCGCCGUUU